Non-coding RNA from Lolium perenne, 276 nucleotides. NCBI's taxonomy places the organism in Eukaryota, Viridiplantae, Streptophyta, Magnoliopsida, Poales, Poaceae. The record is from RefSeq and is a predicted model, not a curated record.
CUCCUGUGUGAUAGGUGUGGACAAAGAUUUCACACUAUACAUGGAGUUCAGUGGUGCUAUUGACUAGCCGAUAAUUGAUGUGAAGAACUUUUGGAGAUGAAGAGGUGGAGAUUACUGGAGACGGCAAUAUCACAUAACUAGAUUUCUGCAUUAGCAUGCACAGAAUAACUACACAGAAGUUAUACAAGAUCCAUAUCGAGAAUGGUCCACAUGGCUCCAUUCCUUGUAUCAUGUUUAUAACUAAUAUAAAUGACUGGUUCCUUUUGUGAUAAGUAA